RNAcentral lists this long non-coding RNA (25598 nucleotides) under Triticum aestivum (bread wheat). Its description in RNAcentral is "long non-coding RNA (TAES_LNC002362)". The record is from RNAcentral. Lineage: Eukaryota; Viridiplantae; Streptophyta; Magnoliopsida; Poales; Poaceae.
UUUUUUUUUGGUCGAACCAGUGGGGGCACGCUGAGUGCACCCACUGGGUGUAGUCCCCGAGACUACUGUCGAAUGUUUUUGAUUCGGCUGUGGUCUUAGAAACGUCAUUAUUGUCUCUUAGUUACUCGGAAGCAACUUAUCUUGGAAGUCUGUCGACUGAUUUUCCUUUUUACAGAAAUCUUGCGAACUUGUAGCUCGCUAUACUGAGUUGGAGAAUCAGCAGAUCCAGCUCAACCUUAGCUUGAAGCUUGCUCAGGAGAAUUUGAGGAAGGCGCAAGAAGAAGCGAAAGGUAUGGCUGGUGAGGUUCUCUAUUCUUAACGGGUGGCUUUUCUUUCUUCUCCAUUCUUGAUGUUGGUUCCACUCGACGCGCCACAGAUAAACUGGAGGAAGCUCUAAAGAAGAAGGACCAAGACCUUGCAGAGGCACAGAAGGAGGCCUCAAGCAAAACGAAGCUUGCAGAGGAGAAAUUGGCUUCGGUCGGAGCUCUUGAACAGGAGAACUCCAGACUGAAAACCGCUCUCGAGACAGCUAAUCGAGAUGCCAGUCGACUGAAGAAGGAGAAGAUGGCUCUGCACGACAAGGCGGGUGAGCUGGUGGGGAAGGUAAAAGAUCUGGAAGCUUAUCUCGGUGGACUUGCCAAGAAGUUGUUCGUCAUGCUCGAAGGUAAUUACUCUGCCCCGACUGUCUUGCAGUUUGCCGAGCCUGCGUAGGGCCACUGUCUUACUCUUGAAUCGUGUUUGCAUAAUUCUGUCAGAACUUUGAAGAGGAGACCAGUCGAGUGGAGCCAAGCUUGGACCCUGUUAACUCUCUUGUGAAGGACGAGGCUGCCAUGAACGUGCUCCGACUAGAGUCUUGUGUUGCCAGCGUCGUUGAUUAUCUGGCUCGGCUGAAAGUUGCAAUGUCGCGGAUCGACACAUCACUCUGGCCUGGGACGACGCUUCGGAACGACCUCGAGUCUCUGAUGGCUCGACUUAACGAAGUCCCAGGUCGAGUGGCGGAAUGGAAGAAAUCUUCUGCUAGAUGUGGUGCUGAUGUCGCUCUGUCUCUGGUCCGCGUCCAUUGCAAGGAGGCGCGAGAAGAAAAGCUGGUGGCCAUCCAAGUUGCAAAUACCAGGAAGCACGGCUUUCAAGACUUCAUGGAGACCUUCAUCGCCGCUGCCACCCGUAUUGCCGACGGGAUCGACUUGGAUGAGUUCAUCGCCCCUUCCAGUCCUCCUCCUGACGAGUGAAAAACUUUAAAUUUACCUCGGAAUGCAGAGUGGAUUUGUAACCGUUAAACUUUGCCUUAAAUUUGCCUCGGGAUGCCGAGUGGACUUGUAACAGUUAAACUUUGCCGAGCCGCGGGCUCGAGUACUUUGAGGUCUGGGACCUUUUAGGCUUUAUCCGAAAUCGAUUUCUCGUCGGGCAUCUUCAUGGUUAGAUUCGUCGAGUGGAACUUGAUCUUCACUCGGAAUGACCUUGUAUUUGCGGCGCAAUUCCGAAGGGGGAGUUAGCAGUCGACUCGCGGAUUGGGUCGAGUCUUGAACUUAGGCGAGCACUGGGCUGCAGCUAAGCCCCCGAGUGGGAGGUUUGCUCUCCACUUGGUAGGAUUUUUAAACACUUAGGCGAGUGCCGGACUGCAGCUAAGUCUCUAAGUGAGAGAAUUUAGGCGAGUGCCAGACUGCAGCUAAGCCCCCGAGUGGGAGGAUCGCUCUCCACUCGGUAGGAUUUUUUCAAACUUAGGCGAGUGCCGGACUGCAGCUAAGUCUCUAAGUGAGAGAACUUAGGCGAGUGCUGGACUGCAGCUAAGCCCCCGAGUGGGAGGUUUGCUCUCCACUCGGUAGGAUUNNNNNNNNNNNNNNNNNNNNNNNNNNNNNNNNNNNNNNNNNNNNNNNNNNNNNNNNNNNNNNNNNNNNNNNNNNNNNNNNNNNNNNNNNNNNNNNNNNNNNNNNNNNNNNNNNNNNNNNNNNNNNNNNNNNNNNNNNNNNNNNNNNNNNNNNNNNNNNNNNNNNNNNNNNNNNNNNNNNNNNNNNNNNNNNNNNNNNNNNNNNNNNNNNNNNNNNNNNNNNNNNNNNNNNNNNNNNNNNNNNNNNNNNNNNNNNNNNNNNNNNNNNNNNNNNNNNNNNNNNNNNNNNNNNNNNNNNNNNNNNNNNNNNNNNNNNNNNNNNNNNNNNNNNNNNNNNNNNNNNNNNNNNNNNNNNNNNNNNNNNNNNNNNNNNNNNNNNNNNNNNNNNNNNNNNNNNNNNNNNNNNNNNNNNNNNNNNNNNNNNNNNNNNNNNNNNNNNNNNNNNNNNNNNNNNNNNNNNNNNNNNNNNNNNNNNNNNNNNNNNNNNNNNNNNNNNNNNNNNNNNNNNNNNNNNACUGGGCCACAGCUAAGCCCCCGAGUGGGAGGUUUGCUCUCCACUCGAUAGGAUUUUUUCAAACUUAGGCGAGUGCCGGACUGCGGCUAAGUCUCUAGGCAAGAGAACUUAGGUGAGUGCUGGACUGCAGCUAAGCCCCCGAGUGGGAGGAUCGCUCUCCACUCGGUAGGAUUUUUAAAUACUUAGGCGAGCACUGGGCUGCAGCUAAGCCCCCGAGUGGGAGGUUUGCUCUUCACUCGGUAGGAUUUUUAAACACUUAGGCGAGCACUGGGCCGCAGCUAAUGUUGGAAAUAUGCCCUAGAGGCAAUAAUAAAUUGAUUAUUAUUAUAUUUCCUUGUUCAUGAUAAUCGUUUAUUAUCCAUGCUAGAAUUGUAUUGAUAGGAAACUCAGAUACAUGUGUGGAUACAUAGACAACACCAUGUCCCUAGUAAGCCUCUAGUUGACUAGCUCGUUAAUCAAUAGAUGGUUACGGUUUCCUGACCAUGGACAUUGGAUGUCGUUGAUAACGGGAUCACAUCAUUAGGAGAAUGAUGUGAUGGACAAGACCCAAUCCUAAGCCUAGCACAAGAUCAUGUAGUUCGUAUGCUAAAGCUUUUCUAAUGUCAAGUAUCAUUUCCUUAGACCAUGAGAUUGUGCAACUCCCGGAUACCGUAGGAGUGCUUUGGGUGUGCCAAACGUCACAACGUAACUGAGUGGCUAUAAAGGUACACUACGGGUAUCUCUGAAAGUGUCUGUUGGGUUGGCACGAAUCGAGAUUGGGAUUUUGUCACUCCGUGUAAACGGAGAGGUAUCUCUGGGCCCACUCAGUAGGACAUCGUCAUAAUGUGCACAAUGUGACCAAGGGGUUGAUCACGGGAUGAUGUGUUACGGAACGAGUAAAGAGACUUGCCGGUAACGAGAUUGAACAAGGUAUCGGUAUACCAACGAUCGAAUCUCGGGCAAGUACCAUACCGCUAGACAAAGGGAAUUGUAUACGGGAUUGAUUGAGUCCUUGACAUCGUGGUUCAUCCGAUGAGAUCAUCGUGGAACAUGUGGGAGCCAACAUGGGUAUCCAGAUCCCGCUGUUGGUUAUUGACCGGAGAGCAUCUCGGUCAUGACUACAUGUCUCCCGAACCCGUAGGGUCUACACACUUAAGGUUCGAUGACGCUAGGGUUAUAAAGGAAGUUUGUAUGUGGUUACCGAAUGUUGUUCGGAGUCCCGGAUGAGAUCCCGGACGUCACGAGGAGUUCCGGAAUGGUCCGGAGGUAAAGAUUUAUAUAUAGGAAGUCCUGUUUCGGUCAUCGGGACAAGUUUCGGGGUCAUCGGUAUUGUACCGGGACCACCGGAAGGGUCCCGGGGGCCCACCGGGUGGGGCCACCUGCCCCGGGGGGCCACAUGGGCUGUAGGGGGUGCGCCUUGGCCUACAUGGGCCAAGGGCACCAGCCCCUAGAGGCCCAUGCGCCAAGAUAUAGGAAAAAGGGGAGAGUCCUAAAGGGGGAAGGCACCUCCGAGGUGCCUUGGGGAGGAUGGACUCCUCCCCCCCUCUUAGCCGCACCCCUUCCUUGGAGGAAGGGGCAAGGCUGCGCCUCCCCCCUCUCCCCUGCCCCUAUAUAUAGUGGAGGGGAGGGAGGGCAUCCAUACCUGAGCCCUUGGCGCCUCCCUCCCUCCCGUGACACCUCCUCCUCUCCCGUAGGUGCUUAGCGAAGCCCUGCAGGAUUGCCACGCUCCUCCAUCACCACCACGCCGUUGUGCUACUGCUGGAUGGAUUCUUCCUCAACCUCUCCCUCUCUCCUUGCUGGAUCAAGGCGUGGGAGACAUCGUCGAGCUGUACGUGUGUUGAACGCGGAGGUGCCGUCCGUUCGGCACUAGGAUCAUCGGUGAUCUGAAUCACGACGAGUACGACUCCAUCAACCCCGUUCACUUGAACGCUUCCGCUUAGCGAUCUACAAGGGUAUGUAGAUGCACUCUCCUUCCCCUCGUUGCUGGUUUCUCCAUAGAUAGAUCUUGGUGACACGUAGGAAAAUUUUGAAUUUCUGCUACGUUCCCCAACAGUGGCAUCAUGAGCUAGGUCUAUUGCGUAGAUUCUUUGCACGAGUAGAACACAAAGUAGUUGUGGGCGUCGAUAUUGUUCAAUAUGCUUGCCGUUACUAGUCUUAUCUUGAUUCGGCGGCAUCGUGGGAUGAAGCGGCCCGGACCAACCUUACACGUACGCUUACGUGAGACCGGUUCCACCGACAAACAUGCACUAGUUGCAUAAGGUGGCUGGCGGGUGUCUGUCUCUCCCACUUUAGUCGGAUCGGAUUCGAUGAAAAGGGUCCUUAUGAAGGGUAAAUAGCAAUUGGCAUAUCACGUUGUGGUUCAUCCGUAGGUAAGAAACGUUCUUGCUAGAAACCCAUAGCAGCCACGUAAAACAUGCAAACAACAAUUAGAGGACGUCUAACUUGUUUUUGCAGGGUAUGCUAUGUGAUGUGAUAUGGCCAAAAAGGAUGUGAUGAAUGAUAUAUGUGGUGUAUGAGAUUGAUCAUGUUCUUGUAAUAGGAAUCACGACUUGCAUGUCGAUGAGUAUGACAACCGGCAGGAGCCAUAGGAGUUGUCUUUAUUUAUUUGUGACCUGCGUGUCAACUUAAACGUCAUGUAAUUACUUUACUUUAUUGCUAACCGUUAGCCAUAGUAGUAGAAGUAAUAGUUGGCGAGGCAACUUCAUGAAGACACGAUGAUGGAGAUCAUGAUGAUGGAGAUCAUGGUGUCAUGCCGGUGACGAUGAUGAUCAUGGAGCCCCGAAGAUGGAGAUCAAAAGGAGCAAAGUGAUGAUGGCCAUAUCAUGUCACUAUUUGAUUGCAUGUGAUGUUUAUCAUGUUUAUAGAUCUUAUUUUCUUAGAACGACGGUAGUAAAUAAGAUGAUCCCUUACAACAAUUUCAAGAAGUGUUCUCCCCUAACUGUGCACCAUUGCGACAGUUCAUGUUUCGAAGCACCACGUGAUGAUCGGGUGUUAGAUUCUAACGUUCACAUACAACGGGUGUAAGACAGAUUUACACACGCGAAACACUUAGGUUAACUUGACGAGCCUAGCAUGUACAGACAUGGCCUCAGAACACGGAGACCGAAAGGUCGAACAUGAGUCGUAUAGAAGAUACGAUCAACAUGAAGAUGUUCACCGAUGAUGACUAGUCCGUCUCACGUGAUGAUCGGACACGGCCUAGUUUGACUCAGAUCAUGUAAUCACUUAGAUGACUAGAGGGAUGUCUAUCUGAGUGGGAGUUCAUAAGAUGAACUUAAUUAUCCUGAACAUAGUCAAAAGGUUUUUGCAAAUUAUGUCGUAGCUCACGCUAUAGUUCUACUGUUUAGAUAUGUUCCUAGAGAAAAAUUAGUUGAAAGUUGAUAGUAGCAAUUAUGCGGACUAGGUCCGUAAAAUGAGGAUUAUCCUCAUUGCUUCAUAGAAGGCUUAUGUCCUUAAUGCACCGCUCAGUGUGCUGAACCUCGAACGUUGUCUGUGGUUGUUGCGAACAUCUGACAUACACGUUUUGAUAACUACGUGAUAGUUCAGUUAAACGGUUUAGAGUUGAGGCACCAAAGACGUUUUUGAAACAUCGCGAAACAUAUGAGAUGUUUUGAGGGCUGAAAUUGGGAUUUCAGGCUCGUGCCCAUGUCAAGAGGUAUAAGACCUCCGAUGACUUUCUUAACCUGCAAACUAAGGAGAAAAGCUCAAUUGUUGAGCUUGUGCUCAGAUUGUCUGAGUACAACAAUCAUUUGAAUCGAGUGGGAGUUGAUCUUCCAGAUAAGACAGUGAUGGUUCUCCAAAGUCAUUGCCACCAAGCUGUUAGAGCUUCGUGAUGAACUAUAACAUAUCAGGGAUAGAUAUGAUGAUCCUUGAGGUAUUCGCGAUGUUUGACACCGCGAAAGUAGAAAUCAAGAAGGAGCAUCAAUUGUUGAUGGUUGGUGAAACCACUAGUUUCAAGAAGGGCAAGGGCAAGAAGGGAUACUUCAUGAAACGGCAAAUCAGCUGCUGCUCUAGUGAAGAAACCCAAGGUAAAACCCAAACCUGAGACUAAGUGCUUCUGUAAUAAGGGGAACAACCACUAGAGCAGAAUUACCCUAGAUACUUGGUAGAUAAGAAGGAUGGCAAGGUCGAUAGAAGUAUAUUGGAUAUACAUUGUGUUAAUGUGUACUUUGCUAGUACUCCUAGUAGCACCAGGGUAUUAGAUACCGGUUCGGUUGCUAAGUGUUAGUAACUCGAAACAAAAGGCUACGGAAUAAACAGAGACUAGCUAAAGGUGAGCUGACGAUAUGUGUUGGAAGUUUUUCCAAGCUUGAUAUGAUCAAGCAUUGCACGCUCCCUCUACCAAAGAGAUUGGUGUUAAACCUAAAUAAUUGUUAUUUGGUGUUUGCGUUGAGCAUAGACAUGAUUGGAUUACGUCUAUCGCAAUACGGUUAUUCAUUUAAGGAGAAUAAUGGUUACUCUGUUUAUUUGAAUAAUACCUUCAAUGGUCUUACACCUAAAAUGAAUGGUUCAUUAAAUCUCGAUCGUAGUGAUACACAUGUUCAUGCCAAAAGAUAUAAGAUAGUAAUGAUAGUAUCACCUACUUGUGGCACUGCCACGUAAGUCAUAUCGGUAUAAAACGCAUGAAGAAGCUCCAUAUUGAUGGAUCUUUGGGCUCACUCGUUUUUGAAAAGUUUGAGACAUGCGAACCAUGUCUAUUGGUAUAUAUGCAUGAAGAAACUCCAUGCAAAUGGACCGUUUUGACUCACUUGAUUUUGAAUCACUUGGGACAUGCAAAUCAUACCACAUGGGCAAGAUGACUGAAAAGCCUCGUUUUCAGUAAGAUGGAACAAGAUAGCAACUUGUUGGAAGUAACACAUUUUGAUGUGUGCAGUCCAAUGAGUGCUGAGGCAUGCAGUGAAUAUCGUUAUGUUCUUACUUCACAGAUGAUUCGAGUAGAUGUUGAGUAUAUUUACUUGAUGAAUCACGAGUCUGAAUUAUUGAAAGGUUCAAGUAAUUUCAGUGUGAAGUUGAAAGAUCGUCGUGACAAGAGGAUAAAAGAUCUAUGAUAUGAUCAUAGAGAUGAAUAUCUGAAUCACGAGUUUGGCACACAAUUAAGACAUUGUGGAAAUUGUGUCCAAACGUCAUAGUUGCAUCCUAUUGGAUAUGGUGCAUACCAUGAUGUCUCUUAUCGAGUUACCACCAUCGUUCAUGGGUUAGGCAUUAGAGACAACCACAUUCACUUUAAAUAGGGCACCACAUAAUUUCGUUGAGACGACACCGUAUGAACUAUGGUUUGGAGAAACCUAAGUUGCCGUUUCUUGAAAGUUUGGGGCUGCGACGCUUAUGUGAAAAGGUUUCAGGUUGAUAAGCUCGAACCCAAAGCAGAUAAAAUGCAUCUUCAUAGGACACCCAAAAACAGUUGGGUAUACCUCCUAAUUCAGAUCCAAAAGCAAUAGGGAUUGUUUCUUGAAUCGGGUCCUUUUUCGAGGAAAGGUUUCUCUCGAAAAGUUGAGUGGGAGGAUGGUGGAGACUUGAUGAGGUUAUUGAACCGUCACUUCAACAAGUGUGUAGCAGGGCACAGGAAGUUGUUCCUGUGGCACGUACACCAACUGAAGUGGAAGCUUAUGAUAGUGAUCAUGAAACUUCGGAUCGAGUCACUACCAAACCUCAUGGGAUGACAAGGAUGCGUACUACUUCAGAGUGGUACGUAAUCCUGUCUUGGAAGUCAUGUUGCUAGACAACAAUUAACCUACGAGCUAUGGAGAAGCGAUGGUGGGCCCGGAUUCCGAUAAAUGGCUCAAGGCCAUAAAACCUGAGAGAGGAUCCAUGUAUGAAAACAAAGUGUAGACUUUGGAAGAACUACUUGAUGGUCGUAAGGCUGUUAGGUACAUAUGGAUUUUGAAAGGAAGACAGACAAUGAUGGUAAGUGUCACCAUUGAGAAAGCUCGACUUGUCGUUAAGAUGUUUUUCGACAAGUUCAAGGAGUUCACUACGAUGAGACUUUCUCACUCGUAGCGAUGCUAAGAGUCUGUUGGAAUUAUAUUAGCAAUUACUGCAUUAUUUAUGAAAUCUUGCAGAUAGGAUGUCAAAACAUUGUUUCCUCGACGAUUCUUGAGGAAAGGUUGUAUGUGAUACAACCGGAAGGUUUUGUCUAUCCUGAAAUAUGCUAAUAAGUAUGCAAAGCUCCAGCAAUCCUUCUGAGGACUGGAGUGAGCAUCUCGGAGUUGGAAUGUAUGCUUUGAUGAUGAUCAAAGAUUUUGGGUGUAUACAAAGUUUAUGAGAAACUUGUAUUUCCAAAGAAGUGAGUGGGAGCACUAUAGAAUUUCUGAUGAGUAUAUGUUGUUGACAUAUUAAUGAUUAGAAAUGACGUAGAAUUUCUGGAAAGCAUAUAGGGUUAUUUGGAAAGUGUUUUCAAUGGAAAACCUAGAUUAAGCUACUUGAACAUUGAGCAUCAAGAUCUAUAAGGAUAGAUCAAAACGCUUAAUAGUACUUUCAAAUGAGCACAUGCCUUGACGUGAUCUUGAAGGUGUUCAAGAUGGAUCAGUCAAAGAAGGAGUUCUUGCCUGAGUUGUAAGGUAUGAAGUUAAGACUUAAAGCUCGACCAUGGCAGAAUAGAGAGAAAGGAACGAAGGUCGUCCCCUAUGCUUAAGACAUAGGCUCUACAGUAUGCUAUGCUGUGUACCGCACCUGAAGUGUGCUUUACCAUGAGUCAGUCAAGGGGUACAAGAGUGAUCCAAGAAUGGAUCACAGGACAGCGGUCAAAGUUAUCCUUAGUAACUAGUGGACUAAGGAAUUUUCUCAAUCAUGGAGGUGGUAAAAGAGUUCGUCGUAAAGGGUUACGUCGAUGCAAGCUUAACACCUAUCCGGAUAGCUCUGAGUAGAGAUACCGGAUACGUAUAAUGGAGCAACAAUUUGGAAUAGCUCCAAGUAGAACAGUUAUUUGGAAUAGCUCCAAAUAGAACGUGGUAGCUGCAUCUAGGAGAUGACAUAGAGAUUUGUAAAGCACACACGGAUCUGAAAGGUUCAAACCCGUUGACUAUAACCUCUCUCACAAGCAUAACAUGAUCAAACCCAGAACUCAUCGAGUGUUAAUCACAUGGUAAAUGUGAACUAGAUUAUUGACUCUAGUAAACUCUUUGGGUGUUAGUCACAUGGGGAUGUGACCUUGAGUGUUAAUCACAUAUCGAUGUGAACUAGAUUAUUGACUCUAGUGCAAGUGGGAGACUGUUGGAAAUAUGCCCUAGAGGCAAUAAUAAAUUGAUUAUUAUUAUAUUUCCUUGUUCAUGAUAAUCGUUUAUUAUCCAUGCUAGAAUUGUAUUGAUAGGAAACUCAGAUACAUGUGUGGAUACAUAGACAACACCAUGUCCCUAGUAAGCCUCUAGUUGAGUAGCUCGUUAAUCAAUAGAUGGUUACGGUUUCCUGACCAUGGACAUUGGAUGUCGUUGAUAACGGGAUCACAUCAUUAGGAGAAUGAUGUGAUGGACAAGACCCAAUCCUAAGCCUAGCACAAGAUCAUGUAGUUCGUAUGCUAAAGCUUUUCUAAUGUCAAGUAUCAUUUCCUUAGACCAUGAGAUUGUGCAACUCCCGGAUACCGUAGGAGUGCUUUGGGUGUGCCAAACGUCACAACGUAACUGGGUGGCUAUAAAGGUACACUACGGGUAUCUCUGAAAGUGUCUGUUGGGUUGGCACGAAUCGAGAUUGGGAUUUUGUCACUCCGUGUAAACGGAGAGGUAUCUCUGGGCCCACUCGGUAGGACAUCAUCAUAAUGUGCACAAUGUGACCAAGGGGUUGAUCACGGGAUGAUGUGUUACGGAACGAGUAAAGAGACUUGCCGGUAACGAGAUUGAACAAGGUAUCGGUAUACCGACGAUCGAAUCUCGGGCAAGUACCAUACCGCUAGACAAAGGGAAUUGUAUACGGGAUUGAUUGAGUCCUUGACAUUGUGGUUCAUCCGAUGAGAUCAUCGUGGAACAUGUGGGAGCCAACAUGGGUAUCCAGAUCCCGCUGUUGGUUAUUGACCGGAGAACAUCUCGGUCAUGACUACAUGUCUCCCGAACCCGUAGGGUCUACACACUUAAGGUUCGAUGACGCUAGGGUUAUAAAGGAAGUUUGUAUGUGGUUUCCGAAUGUUGUUCGGAGUCCCAGAUGAGAUCCCGGACGUCACGAGGAGUUCCGGAAUGGUCCGGAGGUAAAGAUUUAUAUAUAGGAAGUCCUGUUUCGGCCAUCGGGACAAGUUUCGGGGUCAUCGGUAUUGUACCGGGACCACCGGAAGGGUCCCGGGGGCCCACCGGGUGGGGCCACCUGCCCCGGGGGGCCACAUGGGCUGUAGGGGGUGCGCCUUGGCCUACAUGGGCCAAGGGCACCAGCCCCUAGAGGCCCAUGCGCCAAGAUAUAGGAAAAAGGGGAGAGUCCUAAAGGGGGAAGGCACCUCCGAGGUGCCUUGGGGAGGAUGGACUCCUCCCCCCCUCUUAGCCGCACCCCUUCCUUGGAGGAAGGGGCAAGGCUGCGCCUCCCCCCUCUCCCCUGCCCCUAUAUAUAGUGGAGGGGAGGGAGGGCAUCCAUACCUGAGCCCUUGGCGCCUCCCUCCCUCCCGUGACACCUCCUCCUCUCCCGUAGGUGCUUAGUGAAGCCCUGCAGGAUUGCCACGCUCCUCCAUCACCACCACGCCGUUGUGCUGCUGCUGGAUGGAGUCUUCCUCAACCUCUCCCUCUCUCCUUGCUGGAUCAAGGCGUGGGAGACAUCGUCGAGCUGUACGUGUGUUGAACGCGGAGGUGCCGUCCGUUCGGCACUAGGAUCAUCGGUGAUCUGAAUCACGACGAGUACGACUCCAUCAACCCCGUUCACUUGAACGCUUCCGCUUAGCGAUCUACAAGGGUAUGUAGAUGCACUCUCCUUCCCCUCGUUGCUGGUUUCUCCAUAGAUAGAUCUUGGUGACACGUAGGAAAAUUUUGAAUUUCUGCUACGUUCCCCAACAGCUAAGCCCCCGAGUGGGAGGUUUGCUCUCCACUCGGUUGGAUUUUUUCAAACUUAGGCGAGUGCCAGACUGCGGCUAAGUCUCUAGGCGAGAGAACUUAGGCGAGUGCUAGACUGCAGCUAAGCCCCCGAGUGUAGGAUUUUUUCAAACUUAGGCGAGUGCCGGACUGCAGCUAAGUCUCUAGGCGAGAGAUCUUAGGCGAGUGUUGGACUGCAGCUAAGCCCCCGAGUGGGAGGAUCGCUCUCCACUCGGUAGGAUUUUUUCAAACUUAGGCGAAACGGAUUCGCAGCUAAGUCACCCACUGGGGGAUUCCGUAUGUAAACAAAAGUGACGAUAAUUAAUGGAACACUCUUGCCUUUGAUAAAAACGAACUGCAGGAAUUUUUCUUAUUACAUCUCGUCCAAGGGAGAGCUCAAGUGUAAAAGGGGCAGAGUAGUUCCGCAUUCCAAGCUCGAGGCUCGUUGACCUGGCGAUCAACAUUGUAGAGGUGAUACGCUCCAUUGUGGAGGACUCUGGUGAUGAUGAAGGGGCCUUCCCAAGUAGGAGCAAGCUUGUGUGGUUUCUGUUGAUCCACUCGGAGGACCAAAUCUCCUUCUUGGAAGGCUCGACUCUUCACAUUCCGGGCGUGGAAUUGACGCAAGUCUUGCUGAUAAAUGGUCGAUCUGAUCAUGGCCAUCUCCCUCUCUUCUUCUAGGAGGUUGACUGCGUCUUGCCGGGCCUGUUCUGCUUCAUCUUCGGUGUAAAGCUCGACUCGGGGCGCGUUGUGAAGAAGAUCACUUGGCAGAACCGCUUCGGCUCCAUAGACCAGAAAGAAUGGAGUUCUUCCAGUCGACCGGUUAGGGGUGGUCCUCAAUCCCCACAGAACUGACGGAAGCUCGUCGACCCAAGCACCUGCCGCGUGCUUGAGAUCACGCAUCAGUCGAGGCUUCAGUCCUUUGAGAAUCAAACCAUUUGCUCUUUCAGCUUGUCCAUUCGACUGAGGAUGUGCGACCGACACGUAGUCGACUCGCGUGCCUUGAGAGGCGCAAAAAGCUCUGAACUGGUCCGAAUCAAAGUUUGACCCAUUGUCAGUGAUGAUGCUAUGAGGGACUCCAUAUCUGAAUGUUAGUCCUCUGACGAAACUGAUAGCAGUGCCAGCAUCGAGGUUCUUGAUAGGCUUGGCUUCAAUCCAUUUGGUGAACUUGUUGACUGCCACAAGCACAUGCGUGAAUCCGCUCCUGCCUGUUCUCAGUGGACCAACCAUGUCCAGUCCCCAGACAGCAAAGGGCCAGACGAGUGGAAUGGUCUUCAGGGUUGAUGCAGGCUUGUGUGACAUGUUGGAGUAGAACUGGCAGCCUUCACACUUGUCGACUAUCUCUUUUGCCAUCUCAUUUGCUCUAGGCCAGUAAAAUCCCGCUCGGUAUGCUUUAGACACAAUGGUCUGAGAGGACGCAUGGUGGCCACAGGUCUUCGAGUGGAUAUCAUCAAGGAUUAUCCGACCUUCUUCUGGUGUUAUGCACUUCUGACCGAUUCCAGUCGGGCUUUCUCUAUACAACUGCCCCUUUAUGACUGUGAAGGCCUUGGAUCGGCGGACGAUCUGUCGAGCCUCUUCCUCGUCUUCUGGGAGCUCUUUCCUUAGGAUAUACGCGAUGUACGGUAUCGUCCAGUCAAGAGUGAUUGCCAAGACUUCCAUGAUUAGGUCGACCAUAGCAGGAACUUCGACUUCAGUCGGAUCUGUGGCACUUUUUGGUUGUGGGGCUUCUUCUGUGAAAGGAUCCUCCUGGACUGACGGCGAGCGGAUGUGCUCCAGAAACACAUUGCUGGGAAUGGCUUCUCUCUUGGAGCCUAUUUUUGCCAGAUCAUCAGCUGCUUGGUUUUUCAGUCGGGGGAUGUGAUGAAGCUCUAACCCUUCAAAUUUCUUUUCUAGCUUUCUCACUGCAUUGCAAUAACCAGUCAUAGCUGGACUUCUGACGUCCCACUCCAUCACCUGAUUAACCACCAAAUCUGAGUCGCCAUAGACCAUGAGGCGACGGACGCCGAGUGAAAUGGCCAUGCACAACCCAUACAAAAGUGCUUCAUACUCUGCUUCAUUGUUGGAGGAAUCGAAGUGAAUCUGGAGAACAUAUCUGAGCCUAUCUCCUCGGGGGGAGACUAGAACUACCCCAGCACCGGAACCAUUCAGCAUCUUAGAUCCAUCGAAGAACAUGGUCCAGUGCUCCGAGUGAACUUGAGUCGGCAGUUGCUGUUCAAUCCACUCGGCGAUGAAAUCUGCGAUUGCUUGGGACUUGAUAGCCUUCUUUGCUUCAAACUUGAUAUCUAAGGGAAGGAGUUCAAUUGCCCACUUGGCCACUCGACCAGUUGCAUCUCUGUUAUGCAGAAUCUCUGACAGUGGGGCAUCGCUGACGACUAUAAUGGAGUGGUCAGAGAAGUAAUGUGCAACCUUCUUGGUGGUCAUAUAAAUCCCAUAUACAAGCUUCUGGUAGUGAGGGUAUCUUUGUUUUGAAGGUGUCAAAACUUCAGACACAUAAUAGACUGAGCGCUGAACUCUGAAGGCCUUUCCUUCUUCUUCCCGCUCGACCGUAAGUACUAUGCUGACAACUUGCCCUGUGGCUGCAAUGUAAAGCAGCAGAGGCUCUUUGCUGAUUGGGGCGGCAAGCACCGGCUGGGUGGAGAGCAGAGCUUUGAGCUCUGCAAAUGCUGCAUCAGCUUCCGGAGUCCACUCGAACUUGUCAGACUUCUUCAUCAGUCGGUAAAGGGGCAACGCCUUUUCACCGAGAGGAGAAAUGAAUCGACUUAGGGCGGCCAAGCAGCCUGUAAGCUUUUGGACGUCGUGCACGCGAACGGAGCGCUUCAUCCGGAGUAUGGUGCCAACUUUUUCAGGAUUGGCGUCGAUCCCCCGUUCGGAAACGAGAAAACCGAGUAACUUUCCACCUGGAACUCCGAAUGUGCACUUUGAUGGAUUGAGCUUGAUAUCAUACCUCCUAAGGUUGACAAAGGUUUCGGCAAGGUCAGCUCGCAGGUCGGAACCUUUGCGUGACUUGACCACAAUAUCAUCCAUGUAUGCCUCCAUAUUCCGACUGAUUUGAGUGAGUAAACACUUCUGAAUCAUUCUCAUGAACGUGGCUCCGGCGUUCUUGAGGCCGAACGGCAUGGUGACAUAACAGAAGCAUCCGAAUGGGGUGAUGAAAGCUGUUUUGAUUUCGUCGGGUCCAUACAGACGAAUCUGAUGGUACCCGGAAUAAGCAUCUAGAAAAGACAAUCUCUCGCACCCCGCAGUCGAGUCGACUAUUUGGUCGAUGCGCGGGAGAGGAAAAUGAUCUUUCGGGCAGGCCCGAUUGAUAUGUUUGAAAUCAAUGCACAUGCGAAGUGACUUGUCCUUCUUGGGGACCAUGACGACAUUGGCGAGCCACUCGGAGUGGUAAAUCUCUCGGAUAAACUCCGCUGCUAAGAGCCGAGCCACCUCCUCGCCAAUGGCUUUCCUCUUCUGGACGGCGGACCGUCGAAGAUGUUCUUCCACAGGCUUGAACUUCGGGUUGACUCGUAGACGGUGCUCAGCCAGCCCUCUGGGAACUCCAGGCAUGUCAGAGGGUUUCCAUGCGAAGAUGUCCCAGUUCUCACGGAGGAUCUGGAUGAGCGCUUCUUCCUAUUUGGAGUCAAGCGUCGUUGAGAUGUGAGUCGGGGCAGCAUCGGGGUCGGUCGGGUGAAUGUGGACUGUCUUUGUUUCACCGGACGACUGAAAAGCUGAUUCUGAAGCAGGCUUCUUGGCUCGUAGCAACUCGCUUGGAUCGGCAGUCUUUUGGUACUCUUGCAGCUCGACCACUGCCAUCUGAGCAUCUGCAAUCUUUGAGCCCUUCUGAAAGCACUCUUCUCCCUUCUUCCGAUUGCCUGUAACAGUGAUCACACCUUUGGGGCCAGGCAUCUUCAAUUUGAGAUACACGUAACAUGGCCGGGCCAUGAAGCGUGCGUAAGCUGGCCUGCCCAAAAUGGCGUGAUAAGCACUUUGGAAGUCCACAACCUCGAAUGUCAACUUUUCCUUGCGGUAAUUCUUUGAAUCACCGAAAAUCACAUCAAGAGCGAUCUGGCCGAGUGAUUGGGCUUUCUUCCCAGGAAUGACUCUGUGGAAACUCAUGUUACUGGUGCUGAGCCUGGACAUCGGAAUGCCCAUUCCUUUCAAUGUUUCAGCAUACAGUAUGUUCAGGCCACUGCCACCAUCCAUCAGGACUUUAGUCAGUCGAGUGCCUUCAACAAUUGGGUCGACCACCAAAGCUUGCCUCCCAGGGGUGGCAAUGUGCGUUGAGUGAUCAGACUGGUCGAAUGUGAUGGCAGUCUGAGACCACUUCAGGUAACUGGGUGUUGCCGGGGCAACCAUGUUCACCUCUCGGUUAAUGACUUUCAGUCGACUUUUGCUUUCGACAUCGGCAAAAAUCAUCAGGGUGGAAUUGACUUGGGGGUAUCCAUCGUCACUGUCUUCCUUGUCCUCGACUCUGUCCGACUCUUUUUCCUUAUCCUUGGACUGCUUUCCUUGGAACUGCUGGAUCAGGAGCCGGCACUGUCGAGUGGUAUGCUUUGGGUAAAUAAAAUUACCCUCUUCAUCCUUCUUGGUGUGGAUGUGACAUGGCAGAUCCAAAACAUCAUUUCCGUCUUGAUCCUUGACUUUCUUGGGCUUCCAGGGGCCUUUGGGUUUUCCUUUGAAAUUUCCCUGGGUUGCGGCCAGGGCCUCCCCAAGGGCGGCUGGCUCGGCCUUCCGCUUCUGCUUCCGACUGGAAUUGCCUCCGGUUUCCUGGGCGACUGCUUUCUGCUUGCCACUCCGGAGUCGAUCUUCAUCUUCUUCGUUAGCGUACUUGGUGGCAAUCUCCAUCAUCCGAUUCAGAGACAUCUCUCCAGUUCGACCGAACUUCAGAUUCAACUCUCUGUAUUUAACACAUUCCUUGAAGGCACAAACUGCUUGAUGGUCUGGCACAUUCUCAACCGAGUGAUGCAGCGUGAUCCACCUUUGAAUGUAUUCCCUCAGAGUUUCAUUCGGCUUCUGCACGCAAGACCGCAACUCUGUAAGGCCUGCAGGUUGCUUGCAUGUUCCUUCAAAGGUUGUGAUAAACACUCGGGAGAGGUCCUCCCAAGUGUAUAUGCUGCUGGGUGCCAACUGAUUUAGCCACGCUCUGGCUGAGCCCUCUAACAUGAGAGGUAAAUGCUUCAUGGCCACCUCAUCAUUGCCACCGCCAAUCUGUACAGCCACUCGGUAAUCUUCGAGCCAAGUGUCAGGCUUAGAUUCACCGAUGAACUUGUUGAUUCCAGUCGCCAGCCUGAAAUUGGGAGGAAUCACUGCGGCUCUGAUGGCUCGAUUGAAACACUCUGGCCCUGAAGCAUGUACUCUGCUGCUGGCAGGCGCAUCUCUGUUGUGGCCUUCUCGAUGAGCUCUGUUCCUGUCAACCAAACCUUGAAUGAGGAUGGAUCUCGCAUCAAAGCCUGGGUCUCUGGGGUCGACUGGAAUCCUCUGCCCAACACUAUGAGGGCGUCUGUCAUCUUGCCGUCGAGGCGCAUACGACCCACUCCUCGGGGGAGGGGUUGGCACUCGACGUCGAUCAUCGCGGUCGAAUCGGUGAUCAUACUGCUCAUUCCUCCUGUACUGAUCAUGCCGGUCACCACAUCCCUCACGCCUUGGGGGCGAUCUCGGGCUGUGAGCCGACUCGACUGUAUCUGUUGCGACAGAUCGACUGUGGAUCCUAUCCCGCGACUGAGAGAUAGCGGAAUUCUGGUUUCCCACCGCCCGGAGCAACGCUCUGAUUUGUAACAAGCCCCUGCCAGCCUCCGACUGGGAGGGCUGAAUUGAUUCUGCUAUACGGGCCGCAGCGGCCAAAUUCUGAACUGGGGUUUGAUAUACCUGUGUCGGCGGGAAGAGCUGGCGUCGACUAGACUCGGGAGCCCGCUGACGCGCUCGCUCGUCGAGUGCUCGCUGGAGAUUCUCCAGUCGAGUGCGCUCGGCCAAAUUAGCCAAACGCGCGUCCUCCAAGGCCCGGGCCUCGGGGGACUCACCGACGAUAGGGGUGUAGAGGGCGUCUUUCCAGCGGCGAAGCUCCUCUCGCUGUGAUGACGUGAGAGGUUCGGGGAGAUACUCAUCGUGGGGAUGCGACGGAUCGCCCCCACCCGCGCCUCCACCAGCGCGAGGGAAACCAGGAGGACUGUGCGUCCCAUCGACCGCCAGAACCUCCGCCGAUGGGUCGCUGCUGUCGCACUCGGAUGCGGUCUCCGCGGAGCCAGUCGACAGGUCUAACAGGCCGUAGAGGGAUUCGUCGGGCUCGAUCGCCGCGACUUGCGGGGUGGCCGACUGGCGAGCCACGACAUGUCUCACCCACCUCUGAAGUCUCGACCGACCGGAGCGCUUGCGCCGGUGGGAGGCAGAGCGGGGAGACGAUACGGGGGCUGAUCGAUAUUGGGUCGACGGUUGCCGCAGGAGGACGCCACGAACGCAUGCGCGGAAAUGCGUCGCACCGCGGACGGCGAGCGCGUCGAUGUCGAGUGGCGCCUCCUGAAGCCAGGCGGAGUCGUCGGCGAUGAACGUGAGCGCGCCGAGACGGAUCUCGCGGCCCUCCAUCAAAAUUCCGCACGAAACCAUGAUCAAAGGGGAUCGGAAAAAUCGCAACUUCUCCAAUCAGGCGCUAAGACUGCUGCCCCACGGUGGGCGCCAACUGUCGUGGUUCUAACUCUGACAGUGAUGUAGGGGGGUGAAUAUGGAGAGGCUAGAUCUUAGCUAUUGGAAAGUUGUUACACGCGAGGUUUACGAGUUCAGGCCCUUCUCAGAGGAAGUAAUAGCCCUACAUCUCGGAGCCCGGAGGCGGUCGACUGGAUUAUGCGUGUAUGGAUUACCGGGGUGCGAACCCUUCACACUGAGGAGGGGGUGGCUUAUAUAGAGUUCGCCGGACCCCUCCUGCCCUCAGUAAUGCAGGGUUUAAGGUACAUUUAAGGUUGGGUGUUACUGGUAACGCCCCUAAUAAAAUGCUAUAAUGAUCAUAAAGACUACUUAAUAGCCGACCGUUUGCCUGUGGAGUGACUUUAGGUCUCCUGGCAGUCGAGUGGUUGGCUUCAUAGUCGAGUGAUAGCUUCUUGGUCGAGUGUCUUGAACCCGUCGAGUGGGAUACCUUCAAGUCGAUUGAAAGGUGACUUCUUCUAGGGGUGUCCUAGGGUAGGACUCUUUGGUCAGGUUCGUGUCCCUACCCUAGGUACAUGUCUUCAUCACUCAUCCCACACACGUACACCUGUUCCAUUCCACAGUUGUAAGAGUUCUUCAACUAAUGGCCUUAGGUACACAUCAAUGUCGUUGCCGGAUUGCUUAGGGCCUUGGAUGAGCACUGGCAUCAUAAUGAACUUCCGCUUCAUGCACAACCAAGGAGGAAGGUUAUACAAACAUAGAGUCACAGGCCAGGUGCUAUGGUUGCUGCUCUGCUCCCCAAAAGGAUUAAUGCCAUCUGCGCUUAGACCAAACCAUAUGCUCCUUGCGUCAUCUGCAAACUCCUUCCCGUACUUUCUUUCGAUUUUUCUCCACUGCGACCCGUCAGUGGGUACUCUCAACUUUCUGUCUUUUUUACGGUCUUCUCUGUGCCAUCGCAUCGCCUUGGCAUGCUCUUUGUUUUGGAACAAACGUUUCAACCGUGGUAUUAUAGGAGCAUACCACAUCACCUUGGCAGGAAUCUUCUUCCUGGGGCGCUCGUCCUCGACAUCACCAGGGUCAUCGCGGCUGAUCUUAUAGCGCAAUGCACCACAUACCGGGCAAGCGUUCAAAUCCUCGUACUCACCGCGGUAGAGGAUGCAAUCAUUAGGGCAUACAUGUAUCUUCUGCACCUCUAACCCUAGAGGCCAGACAACCUUCUUUGCUUCGUACAUACUCUCGGGCAAUUCGUUGUCCUUUGGAAGCAUAUCCUUUAUCAUUACCAGCAACUUUCCAAAUCCCUUAUCAGAUACACCAUUCUCUGCCUUCCAUUGCAGCAAUUCCAGUAUGGUGCCCAGCUUUUUCUUGUCACCUACGCAAUUGGGGUACAACAAUUUUUUGUGAUCCUCUAACAUGCGCUGCAACUUCUUCUUCUCCAAAUCACUUGCGCAGUUUCUCUUUGCAUCAGCAAUGGCCCAACCUAGAUCAUCAACGGGCUCAUCUGAUGCCUCUUCUUCAGCUUCUUCCCGCAUUGCCGGCUCAGCUUCUUCCCGCAUUACCGGCUCAGCUUCUUCCCCCAUUGUUGUAUCAUCGUAUUCAGGGAACCCAUGGCCAAGAUAGUUGUCGUCGUCCUCUUCUUCUUCAUUGUCUUCCAUCAUAACCCCUCUUUCUCCGUGCUUGGUCCAAACAUUAUAGUGGGGCACGAAACCGGACUUAAACAGGUGGACGUGAAUGAUUCUUGACUUAGAGUAAUUUUGAUCAUUCUUACAGCCAGCACAUGGACAAGGCAUAAAACCAUCCGCCCGCUUGUUUGCCUCAGCCGCAAGCAGAAAAGUAUGCACGCCCUCAACAAACUGGGGAGAGCAUCGGUCAUCGUACAUCCAUUGUCGGCUCAUCUUCAUUACACAACACCGAAUAGACCAAAUUAAUACAAGUUCAUACAUAAAGUUCAUACAACACUUAAAUGCAACAAACAAAUAACUCUCUAGCUAAAGCAUUUAAAUGCAACAACAAAUGCGAUCAAGAUCGCAACUAAGGCAACAAUGGAUCCAACAGCAUAAUGAUACCAAGCCUCACUAUCGAUGGCAUAUUUUCUAAUCUUUCUAAUCUUCAAGCGCAUUUUCUCCAUCUUGAUCUUGUGAUCAUCGACGACAUCGGCAACAUGCAACUCCAAUUCCAUCUUCUCCCCCUCAAUUCUUUUCAAUUUUUCUUUCAAGUACUCGUUUUCUCUUUCAACUAAAUUUAAUCUCUCGACAAUAGGGUCGGUUGGAAUUUCUGGUUCACAUACCUCCUAGAAAAAAUUUCUAUGUCAACUUGAUGGGCAUAAUUUGUCAUAAACACGAAAUGCAACUAGUUUUAAAAGAGAAUAUAUAUACCACAUCCGAAUCAUAACAAGGACGAGGACCGACGGGGACGGAUAUCAAAACCAUGGCACUAUAUGUAUAACAAACAACAUACGGGUAAGAUAAUUAUACGAGUAACUAUAUAUCCAAAUCACACAAACAUCAAUUUUUAUAUAAAAUUUCAUGAACAAGAGGCUCACCAUAAGGUGGUGCCGGCGACGGGACGGUGCGGGCGAUCGACGGUGGUUAUGACGGAGAUUUAGAAGGCACUAAGUAAACCACACCUACAUAUGCAAACUAAGUGUUAUUUUUGACCUCAAAUUGCAUAUAAAUCAAAUACUAGCACAUAUAUAUAUAUAUCCUCCCAAAUUACUAAACUCACAAAUUAAUCACUAUAUAAAGCAUUAGAAGAGCUAAUCUAGCAAUGAGAGAUGAAAGGACAAAGUUGCUAACCUUUGUGAUCAUUUGAAUGGAUGGGGGCCUUCAAAUCUUGACAAAUUUUGGGCAAAAUGUGUGAUGAGCUCGAGAGUAAGAGGGGAAGAACAGAGAGAGGAGAGGGGAAAGGGGAAGAACAGAGCGAGCCCGUGCUCUCGGGUGGACGAAGGGUUUAUGUAGGACGACCUUUAGCACCGGUUCGUGCCAAGAACCGGUACUAAAGGGGCUGGAGGGGUCCCAGUCUGACAACAUCCUGCCACCACUCUCAUUAGUAUCGGUUCGUGGCACGAACCGGUGCUAAAGGUUCGCCACGAACCGGUACUAAUGAAAGCGGCCCGGCUAGCCGUUGGAACCGGCACUAAUGUAUACAUUAGUGCCGGCUCAAAUACAAACCGGCACUAAUGUGCUUCACGUUUGACCCUUUUUCUACUAGUGGAAGAAGUUGUUGGCAUGUGCAUGUACUACUUGUAUACUUUAGAUAAUCGAUGAGUUUCGUGGUGAUCCCUUCUUUAUUAUACUACUACUAAGGCCUCCUUUGGUUUAGAGGAAUUUCAUAGGAAUUCUAGAGGAUAGGAUUCUUAUAGGAUUUUUUCGUUUAGAGCUCUUUGGUUCAUAGGAAUGGAUUCCUAUUCCUACAUAGGAUUGGUUUCUAUCCUCCACAUUUCAUAGAAAAAUAAAAAAGAGCCUAGACUCAAUGAAAAAAUUCCUUUGGUGUCAACCAAAUGAUAUCUUGUUUCCUAUUCCUACUCAUAGGAUUUGAGAUACAUGUCAUCUCAUUUCCUACAAGAUUCUUAUUCCUAUGAUAAUCCUAUCCUAUGAACCAAAAGAGGCCUAAAAUAGAUAUUGUACUGUGUUGUGUUUUGCUUUGUGUAUUGAUCGCAUCCUUUCGUAUGAGAAUGUAGGGCACAAAGGGAAUCAAAUACUUAAAUGUUUAUGUUGCGUCUCCCGCAAAAAAAUGUUUAUGUUGCGUCCCCCGCAAAAGAAAAAUGUUUAUGUUGCGAAACUGGUUUUAUGGCCAAUCUAACGAUACUAUUCCACCUAGCCCACCUAACUGCUUCAUGUCCGGGGUGAAGACUUUUGUUUUGACCUUGAUUUGUUGGGCGCAGCAGCGGCGAACUUGCGUUGUUAUUUUGUUGAAGACGUUGUUUUCCUACCGAUGUGCUGGCCUUCAACGGUUGAUCUCGAUAAUUAGGAUGAAAAUACUUGUCUUGGCCCUUCUUUGGCUGGAUGUGACGGCGGUGUCGUGAGGACGUUUAUUUCUUUUGAAAGCGUUGCUGCAAAAGAAAUUAACUUAGUUAUAGAUGUUAAUUUCAUCUUGUUUGUCGUUGUUAUCUAUUGUAUGUACUUUAUAUCAGACUUUAUUAAAUAUGAUUGUGUGCAUUGCAAUGGUGCAGAUGCCAGGGAUUUCAAUCUCCUUUUCAAAGAAAAGAAAUUAACUACUCCCUCCGUCCCAUAAUAUUAGAUCGUUUUAUAAACUGUUUUAUAGCUUACAGAACAAUCUUAUAUUUUGAGACGGGGGGAGUGGCUUUACUACAGAGAAGUUUGUUUAACCCUUCUAAAGCGUCAUCUGUUUUGGAACUGAGUGAGCGUAUGAUAUGCAUGUAGCAGCCGGCAGACGUAUGCAUGCCAAAUGACAUGUAGUACUAGUUAAUUAGUAGUAGUAGUAGUAUAAGGUUAGAUUGCGCGACAUCAAUCAUUCAACACAGACCGACUAUACGAGGUACUGAUAGUAGUUUAUUGUCGAAGGGCCAUAGGCCGUUCUUGGUACGGAUAGUAGUUUAGUUAGUUCAUCUAUGGAUUCUGCUUCUUCCUGGACGGGGCAUGCUGUGCGCAUGCAUGGCUGCAUGUUUGAGCUGCAUUUAACACGCGAGUUCGAUGCCAGAGGCUUAAUUAACUAGUCUUGCGAUUAUUAUUGUUUGAUUAGUAAAACGUUUCAGGCUAGGCUUUACGUACCGGAUGACGCAAGGAAGGAAGAAGGAAACAACUCAGGGAAAUACUCCAGCUUAGCUCUAGGUCAGACAAACACACGCACAGAGGAAGCCGGCAGGCAGGCAGGCAGGCAGGCAGGCAGGUGUGUUUGAUUAGGUUUUAUCCUUUACAACGAAAUGAUGUUUCGUUGGUAGGCAGCUACACACACCACAACCUGAUUUGCCUCAAGAAUUUGCUCCCGAGAACCUCACUCCGGAAUUACUUGUUGUCAAACGAAAGAUCUACUAAUAGAGUGUAACUUACGCUUCGCUGCUCGACUUUUUUAUGUGUUCAACUAACUGCUUUUUUAAAAAAGGUGGCAAAACAUUCUCAUCAAUUAAUUGAGAAGAAGAGAGUUGUCAAGUUAAUUUACGAAAAAUCAGGCAAAAAUCGAUACAAAUAACCCAAAGCGAACUACUCACAAAGAAUGAAACACCGUAAUCGUCCAAAGGACACUUCAAACACACAACAACCACAAUCCUCGACACUUGCACAACUCAACGGAACUCCUGACAAGCACACUUACAAUGACAAGAACUGGGCACCCUCCAUCAUAAAAUCAUGGACGCCUUUCCGAUGGCGCUACUCUUCUUACUUUUGUUCCUUUUUUCAUUUCUCCUUGCUUGGUUUCUUCUUAAAGGGGCAACCACUUGUCUUGCCAGCUGGGGGUUGAUCAGCCACCCAUUUGUCAACGAAAUCAUAAAACUCAUUGAAUUUCUUGGUGUAGCUAUCGUCAACCAAGACGCUCGUAGGAGCAGGCACCAACACACUGGUCGCAUCGACGUCCUCGACCAGAGGGACCACCGACACGACAUCAUCGACUAUAGGAACCAUGUCACAAUGGACUCAGGCACCUCCACUUGCUCACAUGACGGAGGCGAAACAUGUCCCUCACACGACUUCACCGAUGAGUCCACCUCCAACUGCUCCAAAGACAAGGGCGAAGCAGGACUCGGGCAUAGCUUCCGUAGCUCGGGCAUGAUCUGAAGCACCGGAGCCUCGAGCACAACGUUCUACUCACCCUCAGUGGUAGGCAUCACAGGGGACAAGGUCGACUGUGACGAUGAAUUGUUCUCAGCACGAGGGGAGAAACAUGCAUAUAAGCAUAUAGCUCUCGCCCUUCUUCCAUAGAGCCAACACCCUUCACAUGAGAAGGGCACAACGUUGGAGUAGUUUGCGACAAAGCCGGCACAAGGGAUAGUCUGCUUAGAACAGUUUCCGCCCACUCCAGAAAGCUCCCAACCCGCGCCAGCCAAUCCUGCAGCAGAGUUGUCUGACCAGCUAGAGCGGACUGCAACAUCAUAUAGGGCGGAGUUGCCGAGCCAACAGAAGCCGAGACGAUAGACGCCCAAGACCCAUGGCGAAGAAGUGCAGGUUGUACAAAGAUUCCAGGAACUGUUUUCACAAACAGAAGAAGAAUGACGGGGUUGGGGAUGGCACCGGGAUGUCGGAGGAAUAGGGGCGGUACGCUGCAUGGAGAAUGGAGGAGAAGCAUCGGUGUGCUGCUCCAGGGUGCUACUCCAGGUCCACCUCCCUGGCGUCAAUGGGUGCCAUAUCGUGACCUCGAGGCAGCGGUUCACCGUGGACACAAUUUGCAUGGGGAUUGGCCAUGGCGGCGAGACGGCAGAGUUAUGUGGGCGUGGUGCGGGAAUUUUUUUUUGGGAGGUUGUGGGGAUUAUUUCAAUUUUAAUUAGAUUCAGUGCAUCAUUAUCAUUAGGACAGGUGGCUAUUAUUUUAAUUAAUCAGAUUUGUCAUUAUCAUUACCAUUAAAACUAGGAAAGCAUAAAUCCACCCUUGAUAAGGAAUUACCAACGUGUCCUCGAGCCAUAAUCUGACCAAUCAGUGCUAACCAUUGGAUGAACCUAACAUUGUGUAGAACAAUGUACCAUACAAAAUCUCUAAAUCUAUGUUUGUGCAACUAACAACAUACUCCCUCCCCUUAACACAGUAUAAGACUUUUUUUUUGAAAAGCUAUGAUAACCACGUUCAAUAGAUAAAUACCCCAAAAGAUCAUUUCCUUGGUGUAGAAACAAAGAGAUUGUUUAUCAACUUGGUUCUAAAACGAUGGGUGUUAUUUUAUUUAUUUAUUUAUUUUGCGAAAACGAUGGGUGUUAAUUACUGACUACCUUGAUGAAAAAGAGCCAGCAAGUAUAAAUGAAGAGCAGACCUCAAGGUGUUCUAAAACAGAGGACACGGGCGGCCAGUGCGGGGGAGCGAGANNNNNNNNNNNNNNNNNNNNNNNNNNNNNNNNNNNNNNNNNNNNNNNNNNNNNNNNNNNNNNNNNNNNNNNNNNNNNNNNNNNNNNNNNNNNNNNNNNNNNNNNNNNNNNNNNNNNNNNNNNNNNNNNNNNNNNNNNNNNNNNNNNNNNNNNNNNNNNNNNNNNNNNNNNNNNNNCAAAGGAACAUAGGGAGCACAUUUGUACUGUAGCAUACCCAACAAUUCUACUUCUUUCACAAGAAAUGACUUACGGCUCGGCAUGAAUGAUUUGUUCACUCUGAAUAGCAGCGGCAUGGAUUUACAAAAUGGGAAGAAAACGAAACAAAAACACAGAUGAUCAAUGGCGGCACGCAUCAUCACGUUUAGUUUAUUCACUGAGAGCAAGCAGAGUAAAAAAGUUAGUAAGACAGUUCUCUUAUCCAGUACUUGUACAGACUUAAUGCAUGGACAUCCCUUAAAAAACACCCUUUUUUUCGCCUCAAACAAGAGAGAAGUACUUUAGAGCUUCAGAGUUUUAAAUGCCCUUCGCUACCAUGUCAUUCUGUGAUGCCUUACAAUCCCACAAGUCACUGUAUACAUACAUUCAUACAAACAUACAUAUGGUUCUGAGGAGAAAAUUAAUAAUGAAACAAAUAAUGUAUUGAGUGGAGGUGAGCCAUGUGGUUUUAAUCUUCGUCACCAUCAACUCUCAUUCAAAACCAGUGAUCCUUGACAGCUGCUAUUGGCUUCAAGAGCAUGUCNNN